This 775-nucleotide long non-coding RNA is filed under the name Physcomitrium patens. Its description in RNAcentral is "long non-coding RNA (PPAT_LNC004719)". The record is from RNAcentral. Lineage: Eukaryota; Viridiplantae; Streptophyta; Bryopsida; Funariales; Funariaceae.
UUCCCACCAAUGGAAAGCAAAAUAUGCUAAUGCACCCACAAAAGCAAUAGCUAUAAUAAUAAUCAAAGCAUGAGAUUCAGAGUGACUUGUUGUUGCAUUUGUAUCAUUAACUGGAUUCUUAGUUGUAUCCAAAAGUAACAAUGUUUGAGGUAAGUCCUUUACACAUAUACUUCCAUUUUUUACUCUUGCCCAACCAACCAUACAUUGUUCACAUGCUAGUCCAGCAUAUCCUGUACACAAAAAAGAUUAGCAUUAUCUCUCUCUCUCUCUCGAAAUAUAUACAUAUAUAUAUAUAUAACCUUCCUUUGACAUCUUCAUUUUGUCUUUGCCACUACUUUUACUACUCAAAUCAUGCAUUCAAAAGUGCCAUCCAUGUCUCAUUUUUUAAAUCUAAAAAAUUAGAGAACUAAAUUUGCUACGAGUUAUAAAUCUUAUACUUUAAAUUUUCCACAUGAUAUAUAUAUAUAUAUAUAUAUAUAUAUAUAUAUCAAGUAUACUUGGUUUCAAAAAUAAAUAGAAGUAUUACCCAAAAAACAUUUACAUUGACCACUUGCAUCCAAGCAAAUGCCUCUGCGAGAGCAAGCUUGUGAUGGGUUGUUGUUGUGGGGUCCAUGAGGUGGAAUAGGGCAUGCAAACGACACGUAUGGGCAAUCUUGGAAGCAACAAGUAUUGCUACCGUGGUGGAUGGCACUCUCGUAGUUCAUAUCACACCGUUCCCCUUUCUCGCACUCUCCAUUCCCACAAAUCCCAGUCUUUUUGAUAUUGGGAACAUUUG